Molecule: ribosomal RNA, 371 nt
Filed under: uncultured bacterium
Lineage: Bacteria
Description: bacterial SSU rRNA
Rfam family: Bacterial small subunit ribosomal RNA
Source: RNAcentral
AUACGGAGGAUUCGAGCGUUAUCCGGAAUCAUUGGGUUUAAAGGGUCUGUAGGCGGCUUUGUAAGUCAGUGGUGAAAUCUUCCGGCUCAACCGGGAAACUGCCAUUGAUACUGCGGAGCUUGAAUAAUCGGGAAGUAACUAGAAUAUGUAGUGUAGCGGUGAAAUGCUUAGAUAUUACAUGGAAUACCAAUUGCGAAGGCAGGUUACUAUCGGUUUAUUGACGCUGAUGGACGAAAGCGUGGGGAGCGAACAGGAUUAGAUACCCUGGUAGUCCACGCCGUAAACGAUGGACACUAGCUGCUGGGGGUAACUUCAGUGGCUAAGCGAAAGUGAUAAGUAUCCCACCUGGGGAGUACGUUCGCAAGAAUGAA